AAAGCCCAGCGCAGAACCUCCCGGGUCACCAGGCCUGCGGCGGAAUGUUGCGUAAAGGGAAAGAUCGUUGUCAAACCCAACAACCACGUGAAUCUCUAAGUCAGCCACGAAUUGGCUAUCCCAACUAACGGCGGGACUGACUCCAUGGAGGGUGUAAGACCCGUGUGGGCACGUGUCAAUGUUGUGCGGGUUCGGUCUCUUCCCUGAGAGUCGCGUUGCUUGAGCAUGCAGCGCUAAGCAGGUCGUAAACUCGAUCUAAGGCUAAAUAUAUCCACAGGACCGAUAGCAAACAAGUACCGUGAGGGAAAGUUGAAAAGCACUCUGAAGAGAGAGUCAAAAGACCGUGAAACCGCUCAGAGUAUAAGCCCAUGGUAGCUGGGAGGCAAGUCACAAGGGCCCUUCCUUCAGGGGUGGGUGUUCCGGGGUUCUGCACAAUCUGUUUAUUAAUGAAGGGGCAUUGAGUUGACACCCCGCUAGCAAUCGGGCAAAUGUGUUGGGAGUAGGCGACGCUUAGCUCGGCGUGUGCUUCCUUCAUUUUGCUGUCAGAGAACUGCAAUGAGUCUGGCUUGCAAACCCCUGUGACUAAGCCCACCACAGUACGUUGUGAGGUCACCCACAGGCUCAAACAGUCGAUCGCGGGUCAGUGUGGCUUGACUUCGUCAUAGUGUACCAGGCACGUCUUGCUCUCUGUCUCGGGCGAUCCGAGAAUAUCCUGGUAUGAUCCUCUUGCGACGAACUGAUUCUGACCGGGACAGCACCCUCGGGUAUGUAGUUGAUCGUUUGGACCUGGAAUGUCGAUCGGGAGCUGACCCGCAUGGUGUUCAGCUUAGCACCAUCGGUCACGUCUCGAAACACGGGCCAAGGAGUAUAGCAUGUGUGCAAGUCUAAGGGUCCCACAAAACCCGCAGGCGAAGUGAAAGCAAGGCUGUGGCGGGAGAGCUACGGCGAUCCUGUCAGCAUGGGAGCCUUCGGGCGACCUGCUUAAACCGAGUUGAUCCUGUCGAGAUGGCCAACGCCAGCGAUGGGCGCAAGCUCCAGGCUCACGCACGCACGGUCGGCUGUKCUGUGAGCACUGUGGAGCAUGCAUGCUAUAACCCGAAAGAUAGUGAACUAUGCCUGGCGA
This 1123-nucleotide ribosomal RNA is filed under the name Cleippides quadricuspis. RNAcentral's name for it is "partial 28S ribosomal RNA". It matches the Rfam family "Eukaryotic large subunit ribosomal RNA", at positions 104 to 843 of the family's 3401-position model. The record is from RNAcentral. Lineage: Eukaryota; Metazoa; Arthropoda; Malacostraca; Amphipoda; Calliopiidae.